Molecule: long non-coding RNA, 1972 nt
Organism: Cyprinus carpio carpio
Lineage: Eukaryota; Metazoa; Chordata; Actinopteri; Cypriniformes; Cyprinidae
Source: Ensembl
AUGAUUAUACUAAUAAUCAUCAAACUGAUAAUUCUGCAGCAUAUUUCAGAAUCCAGUGAUGUUACCCAGACACCAGUACUAUGGGUUCCAAAGGGUGAAUCUGCACAAAUGAACUGCAGUCAUACUAUGGGUGCAGACUAUUUCUACAUGUAUUGGUUUCGACAGCGGCAGGGAGAAACAAUGAGACUCAUUGCUUUUACUACAACUACAAACGACAAGCCAGAUUUGGGUGAAUUUUCUGUUGAUAAAUACUCAGCUGAAAAGACUGUAGCUGAUAAAGGGUCUUUCACAGUGAAGAAGCUGCAGCACGAUGACAGUGGUGUGUAUUUCUGUGCAGUGAGUAAACACAGUGACACAGACCUACUGUGCUGCUGUACAAAAACCUAAAAUGUUCGUGCUCCCUAAACACAGAACAGGUGCUAUGACAGAUGUUAACAAUGACAAUGAAAUUUUGCAGUUUGUUUGCAACUUCACCAUACUUGUAGGGAUCUUUUGAAAAUCUGAAUAUAAUGUUAAAAAUAAUAAUAACUAAAAUAAAUAAUCAAUUCAUAUCAAUUCAUUAAUAUUAUGACAAAAUUACCUGGUUGUUACUCCUUCUGCAAGAUUUGAUGGAGGUAGCAUAAUGGCAUGAAGUGUUUAAUCAUCAGAAUUAAUAUGUAGUCACUUACAUUUAAGACACAAUAUUAUAAGUUUUGUUUUCUGUUUUUGCUCCAUCAAUGAAAACAGUUUUAAACAAAGCCAUAGCAAAAGCUGUUGCAACACUGAACAACCUAAAAUGUUCAUGCUCCCUAAACACAGAACAGGUGCUACAACAACACAAUGGUUGAGCCACAAUAGAACAGGAAUCCAGCAGAUGGUGCUAAAGGCUAACAUUUACAGUAUAUUACAGGAGAAGAAGCUCACAUUCCUCGGGUUUUGGUGCCUCAAGUCAAUCUUCUUUCGGGACAAACAUUUUCUUAUACAUUUAAUUUAAUUAUAAUUUUUUUAUAACUUCUCUGUGUUUAAACUGUUAACAAAAUGAACAGCAGUCUCAUGUACUGUUCUUUAACUGGUGACAUAUCAGUUAGAAACAUUGUUAUACAGUACAUUUAUAAAAUAGAACAUAGAAUAUUGCAACAAUGAACAAAAUAUUGUAGAAUAUUGGGCAGCAGUCUUCCAGUUUUAUAUAUUCUUGUUAAUGAGUGUAUAUUCUUGUUAUUCUAGCUAAUUUUUAGAUAUCUCACUAAGCUAAAACAGGGAUAAUCUAAACACAAAAUUGAACUGAGAGGAUUUUCAAACAAGAAUGGGGCUUUGAUCGUUGAAAACCCUUCAAUGAGUAACAACAAUACAGUGUACUUCAUUAGACAAUAGUGUAAAUCAGUUAGAAUUAUUGUGAUGCAUUUAAAAAAAAUACACUACACAUGACAUGAGUAGCAUGAUGUCAACUCCCUUUACACUAAUAUAGUUCCAUUAUACUAUAUGUAUAGUUCAGUCAUGAAACUCUGGAUGGAGCAGACAUCGCUUAACAUCAGGGGUUCUCAACUCUGGCCCCUGAGGUCCACUUUCCUGCAGAGUUUAGCUCCAACCCUGAUCAAACUCACCUAUCUGUAUCUCAGUUAAUCUGAUCACAUCAUAUAUUGCAUGGCACAAACUGAUUGGCCUCCCCUGAUUCUGCAACCAAUGAGAUUGCUUACUCAACAUUUAAAUAGUCUGGUUCAAUGUUCGCUAUAAUGUGAUCCUGAAGUUCGCUAUCAUAUUUCCUCUGCAAACUGUCCUCCUCCCCCAGCUCCACCUGUCUAGAUCUACUAUUCUACUAUCAUUUCUACAAUCAUUUCAACACUGUGCGUGGCAGUAUUCUCUACAUUGAAGACAUUUUUAAUCCAUCCCACAAAAACACUAUAAAGGGACAAAGUGAUGUCAUAGUGACGUCACAUCAUGUGCUUCCCCAUAAAAAACUUUUACAGUUCCCUUCUGCAUUUAUGUCAUAUAGUCU